UUCGGGGGACAGGGUGACAGGUGGUGCAUGGUUGUCGUCAGCUCGUGUCGUGAGAUGUUGGGUUAAGUCCCGCAACGAGCGCAACCCUCGACCUUAGUUGCCAGCAUUCAGUUGGGCACUCUAAGGUGACUGCCGGCUAAAAGUCGGAGGAAGGUGGGGAUGACGUCAAAUCAUCAUGCCCCUUAUGACCUGGGCUACACACGUGCUACAAUGGGCGGUACAAAGGGUCGCGAACCCGCGAGGGGGAGCCAAUCCCAAAAAGCCGCUCUCAGUUCGGAUUGCAGGCUGCAACUCGCCUGCAUGAAGCCGGAAUCGCUAGUAAUCGCGGAUCAGCAUGCCGCGGUGAAUUACCGGUUCCCGGGCCUU
This 366-nucleotide ribosomal RNA is filed under the name uncultured Anoxybacillus sp. RNAcentral's name for it is "bacterial SSU rRNA". It matches the Rfam family "Bacterial small subunit ribosomal RNA", at positions 1018 to 1382 of the family's 1533-position model. Lineage: Bacteria; Bacillati; Bacillota; Bacilli; Caryophanales; Anoxybacillaceae. The record is from RNAcentral.